GGCCUAUUAGCUUAGUUGGUUAGAACGUCAUGCUAAUAAUGUGAAGGUCGUUGGUUUGACACCUACAUGGGCCA
Non-coding RNA from Cucurbita moschata (crookneck pumpkin), 74 nucleotides. NCBI's taxonomy places the organism in Eukaryota, Viridiplantae, Streptophyta, Magnoliopsida, Cucurbitales, Cucurbitaceae. The record is from the annotation of a RefSeq genome assembly.